UACGUAGGGCGCAAGCGUUAUCCGGAAUUAUUGGGCGUAAAGAGCUCGUAGGCGGUCCGUCGCGUCGAAUGUGAAAACCCGGGGCUCAACCCCGGGCUUGCAUUCGAUACGGGCGGACUAGAGUUCGGUAGGGGAGACUGGAAUUCCUGGUGUAGCGGUGAAAUGCGCAGAUAUCAGGAGGAACACCGGUGGCGAAGGCGGGUCUCUGGGCCGAUACUGACGCUGAGGAGCGAAAGCGUGGGGAGCGAACAGG
This 253-nucleotide ribosomal RNA is filed under the name uncultured bacterium. Its description in RNAcentral is "partial 16S ribosomal RNA". It matches the Rfam family "Bacterial small subunit ribosomal RNA", at positions 524 to 776 of the family's 1533-position model. The record is from RNAcentral.